AUGUUUCCCCUCCACCCAUCCUCUCUCUCCUCUCCUCCUUCCUCGUCCGCGCGCGCACAUCACCUAGCGCUCGCGUGCUCGGCUCCUGGACCAGCCGCCGCCGCACCGAUGGGGCUUGUCCACCGCGGGUUUCCAUGGGGAAGGAGCAGCGACGGGGGUAGGCCCCAGGCAGCGCACACUUCAUGGGGAGGCAAGGAACUAGGAGGUGAUGGGGUCAGAUCUGGUGGUGCUGGGUCGGAGCUCGAUCCCUCGCCUCCCGAACCAGCCGUCGCCGCGCCGCUGGGGCUCGUCCGCCGUGGGUUUCCAUGGUGA
This 312-nucleotide ribosomal RNA is filed under the name Triticum aestivum (bread wheat). Its description in RNAcentral is "partial small subunit ribosomal RNA". Lineage: Eukaryota; Viridiplantae; Streptophyta; Magnoliopsida; Poales; Poaceae. The record is from RNAcentral.